UUAUUCAAAUUUCCAAUUUUCUUUUCUUAUUCUUUUCUUUUUUCUUUGACUUGAAGGGAUGGAGAGAAUCUUUCAUGCAGCAAAAAAUUGAGUCUGAAAAGAAGAGAGUGAAGAAAAGUCUAUGGUUUGUUUUCUAUCACCCCCCAUCUCCUCUCUCUACAUAUGCAUGCACAGAGAUACAAGUAUCGUAAUACACCACACACAGUUGAAUUACAUCAUACUUACAUGCAUUAUUAACUGCUCGGAUUGAAGAGCGGGUACUAAUAUUGCAGAUUCGUAUAUUUCAGUUAAAAGACCUGAAGUAACAAAGACUUCGGUAAAAAUAGCACUUGGGCCGAUUAUUAUGCUUAAUUUUUUUUUUUUUAAUUUUUUGAAAUACGG
RNAcentral lists this long non-coding RNA (381 nucleotides) under Olea europaea subsp. europaea. The record is from RNAcentral. Lineage: Eukaryota; Viridiplantae; Streptophyta; Magnoliopsida; Lamiales; Oleaceae.